This is a long non-coding RNA of Magallana angulata, 187 nucleotides long. RefSeq lists it as uncharacterized. NCBI's taxonomy places the organism in Eukaryota, Metazoa, Mollusca, Bivalvia, Ostreida, Ostreidae. The record is from RefSeq and is a predicted model, not a curated record. The transcript is spliced from 2 exons.
UUUCGUGUACAUUUUAUUUUUUGUUACGAAAGAUUUGUCGUACGACUUAAUUUUUUAUGUUGGAAAACCGCGCCAUACUCGAUGUAUGCACAACUCUGAUUCUCUGUAUCGAGGCUUGUAAUCCACAGUCUUUUUACCGUCGUCUGAGACGGUUAUCUGUCUCCCAAAUAAACUGAUUUCACCGACA